Long non-coding RNA from Suricata suricatta (meerkat), 515 nucleotides. RefSeq lists it as uncharacterized. The transcript is spliced from 2 exons. Lineage: Eukaryota; Metazoa; Chordata; Mammalia; Carnivora; Herpestidae. The record is from RefSeq and is a predicted model, not a curated record.
UGUUGACUGUAAAGUUAACUGCCUUAACCCUCCUUGCCUUUUGCACCAAAUAAGCACAGGCAAGGGAAGGGUGAGGGACUGAUGAAGGUUUGCAGGGGAGAGUUCCUGCUCUCUGCCUCCCCUACAUUCAUACUUCGGGUUAUUCCUGCUUUGUUUCAAUGAGCCUGCAAAAUUGCUGUCACUUGCCGUCAAACGGCCUUAUGUAAGGCAUUUAAGUUGGAAAAUUCUAGAAAGUCAAAAGAGCAAAUCAAGCCCCGAUGUGCAGCCUUUACCAAUUCUCAGGUAGUAAGUCAUCCUGGCUUGGCCAGUUUCAAGUUGCCAAUGUGAUGCCACCAGACACAGCGUUGGGAAGAGAUGUGCAAAAGCACAUUGUGAUGCCGAGUUUCCACUGGACAGACACCAUAGAUAUGGAUGACCUCAAGAGACUGGGUAAUGGCAAACUGUAAAAUCAUGAGGAAGUGAAGAGUUUUGAGUAUUCUCUUUAUUUUAAUAAAACAUUCGAUCAUAAAAAUGUA